GACAGAGGGUGCAAACGUUGCUCGGAAUCACUGGGCGUAAAGGGCGUGUAGGCGGGAAGGAUAGUCAGAUGUGAAAGCCCUGGGCUCAACCCAGGAACUGCAUUUGAAACUCCCUUUCUUGAGUGUCGGAGAGGAAAGCGGAAUUCCUGGUGUAGAGGUGAAAUUCGUAGAUAUCAGGAGGAACACCGGUGGCGAAGGCGGCUUUCUGGACGACAACUGACGCUUAGACGCGAAAGCGUGGGGAGCAAACAGG
RNAcentral lists this ribosomal RNA (253 nucleotides) under uncultured bacterium. RNAcentral's name for it is "partial 16S ribosomal RNA". It matches the Rfam family "Bacterial small subunit ribosomal RNA", at positions 524 to 776 of the family's 1533-position model. The record is from RNAcentral.